CUGGUUAGCUCAGUUGGUAGAGCGCUCCACUUGUAAUGGAGAGGUCCCGGGUUCGAUACCCGGACCAG
Molecule: non-coding RNA, 68 nt
Organism: Ixodes scapularis (black-legged tick)
Lineage: Eukaryota; Metazoa; Arthropoda; Arachnida; Ixodida; Ixodidae
Source: Rfam